CCAAAGGCUCUUUUAAGAGCCACUUAACCUUUUCCCGAGAAGAGCUG
Nestor notabilis (Kea) is the source of this 47-nucleotide non-coding RNA. The record is from Rfam. NCBI's taxonomy places the organism in Eukaryota, Metazoa, Chordata, Aves, Psittaciformes, Psittacidae.